CUACCUUCUAAACUUCCCACCCAUAUCAGUGGCUGCGUACGUCUCCAUUAUUCUAGCACACCUUUUUUUUCCUUUAUUUGAGCGGGCAUUCGGCGUGGUGAAGCGUUCGCCUUUUCUUCAGUUUAUCUGACAGCAAUGGGAAAUGUGUUUUAACAAUAUUUUCCCACUACUCUCGUCGUUUAUUCUUUGAAUUAUAAGUAAUGUUUACAAAAAUAUCACU
Non-coding RNA from Cinara cedri, 220 nucleotides. The record is from the annotation of a GenBank genome assembly. Lineage: Eukaryota; Metazoa; Arthropoda; Insecta; Hemiptera; Aphididae.